GAGCCUGAGAAACGGCUACCACAUCCAAGGAUGGCAGCAGGCGCGCAAAUUACCCAAUCCCGACACGGGGAGGUAGUGACAAUAAAUAACAAUACGGGGUUCUUUAGGAUCUCGUAAUUGGAAUGAGUACAAUUUAAAUCUCUUAACGAGGAACAAUUGGAGGGCAAGUCUGGUGCCAGCAGCCGCGGUAAUUCCAGCUCCAAUAGCGUAUANNNAAGUUGUUGCAGUUAAAAAGCUCGUAGUUGAAUUUCGGGGUUAGUAGGUUGGUCAUGCCUCUGGUAUGUACUGGUCUCACUGAUUCCUCCUUCCUUGUGAACCGUAAUGCCAUUAAUUUGGUGUUGCGGGGAAUUUGGACUGUUACUUUGAAAAAAUUAGAGUGUUUAAAGCAAGCUAACGCUUGAAUACAUUGGCAUGGAAUAAUGAAAUAGGACGUUCGAUCUUAUUUUGUUGGUUUCUAGGAUUGACGUAAUGAUUAAUAGGGAUAGUUGGAGGCAUUAGUAUUCAAUUGUCAGAGGUGAAAUUCUUGGAUUUAUUGAAGACUAACUACUGCGAAAGCAUUUGCCAAGGAUGUUUUCAUUAAUCAAGAACGAAAGUUAGGGGAUCGAAGACGAUCAGAUACCGUCGUAGUCUUAACCAUAAACUAUGCCGACUAGGGAUCGGAUGAUGUUAAUUUUUUAAUGACUCAUUCGGCGCCUUACG
This 699-nucleotide ribosomal RNA is filed under the name uncultured fungus. RNAcentral's name for it is "SSU rRNA". It matches the Rfam family "Eukaryotic small subunit ribosomal RNA", at positions 392 to 1092 of the family's 1831-position model. The record is from RNAcentral. Lineage: Eukaryota; Fungi.